CUAAGACAUUUACUGCAACUUGCUCCGGUGCGUCAAUCGCUUCUUCCGGCGAGCUUCCGGCGAACUUCCGUCGAUCAUCCGAUGAACCCUCGGUGAUGCUCCUGCGGACUUUCGGCAAACUCCUGGACUUGCGACGAUUCACUUGGCGAGUUCCGACGAGCUUCUUUGGCAAGCUUAUGGACUUCUCGGAUUUGUUCCCGUAGAAC
RNAcentral lists this long non-coding RNA (206 nucleotides) under Musa acuminata (dwarf banana). RNAcentral describes it as "long non-coding RNA (MACU_LNC005675)". Lineage: Eukaryota; Viridiplantae; Streptophyta; Magnoliopsida; Zingiberales; Musaceae. The record is from RNAcentral.